Molecule: ribosomal RNA, 497 nt
Filed under: uncultured bacterium
Lineage: Bacteria
Description: partial 16S ribosomal RNA
Rfam family: Bacterial small subunit ribosomal RNA
Source: RNAcentral
GAUGAACGCUGGCGGCGUGCCUAAUACAUGCAAGUCGAGCGAACAGAUGAUGAGCUUGCUCCUCUGACGUUAGCGGCGGACGGGUGAGUAACACGUGGAUAACCUACCUAUAAGACUGGGAUAACUUCGGGAAACCGGAGCUAAUACCGGAUAAUAUAUUGAACCGCAGGGUUCAAUAGUGAAAGACGGUUUUGCUGUCACUUAUAGAUGGAUCCGCGCCGCAUUAGCUAGUUGGUAAGGUAACGGCUUACCAAGGCAACGAUGCGUAGCCGACCUGAGAGGGUGAUCGGCCACACUGGAACUGAGACACGGUCCAGACUCCUAAGGGACGCAGCAGUAGGGAAUCGUCCGCAAUGGGCGAAAGUCUGACGCAGCAACGCCGCGUGAGUGAUGAAGGUCUUCGGAUCGUAAAACUCUGUUAUUAGGGAAGAACAAAUGUGUAAGUAACUAUGCACGUCUUGACGGUACCUAAUCAGAAAGCCACGGCUAACUACGUG